This 253-nucleotide ribosomal RNA is filed under the name uncultured bacterium. RNAcentral's name for it is "partial 16S ribosomal RNA". It matches the Rfam family "Bacterial small subunit ribosomal RNA", at positions 524 to 776 of the family's 1533-position model. The record is from RNAcentral.
UACGUAGGGUGCAAGCGUUGUCCAGAAUUAUUGGGCGUAAAGAGCUCGUAGGCGGUCUGUCGCGUCUGCUGUGAAAAUCCAGGGCUCAACCCUGGACCUGCAGUGGGUACGGGCAGACUAGAGUGCGGUAGGGGAGAUCGGAAUUCCUGGUGUAGCGGUGAAAUGCGCAGAUAUCAGGAGGAACACCGGUGGCGAAGGCGGAUCUCUGGGCCGUAACUGACGCUGAGGAGCGAAAGCAUGGGGAGCGAACAGG